AGAGUGCAUGGAGGUGCUCUUAAAAUAAAUAAAUAAAUAAAAAUCAAUAGAUAUUAACCGUCUCACGGUAUUGCUUGUUGUAGUGGUGUUUAUGUACUUAUAUUAACUCCUAAAUUGCAAGCGAGAAAGGAAGUGUGUGUUCAUUUCUACCACCCACCACUGAAUUCAGGUUUCCUUGUGGUACAUCCUUCUCGUGGCUUAAGCAGAUUUUCAUCUCAGUGGCUUGUCUGUGACUUUAGCUGCUCUGCUACGAUACCACUUCACACCUUGUGAUCAUGGACAACAUGUAUUUUGGAGACUCGUAUUUCAGCGUUAAUGAUGGUAAUCCAACCAUUUAUCUUCGUGGUUAUUAUGAUGACCUGAUGAUCAGCAUCUCCCUUGUCGCUGGUGUGUGUGUAAGCCUGCCAGCUUUGAUUUGGGCUCUUCAUGUUCUUUACACUCUCCACAAACAUGGAAGCCAAAUUUCAGCCUUCAUCAUCCUUCUCAUCAUCAAUGACUUGGCUGAGCUGCUCCUGAGUGCAAUUAUAGCAUCAAAUGCAAUAGACAGCCUUGUAAAGUUCAGUGUGACAAGAUCAUUAAAAACUUUAAAAGCUGCCAGAUAUGAAGAAGAUUUAAUAACUACCAAUACUAUAUCAAUGCAUUUAUUUAUGACAUUUAGAAUUGGUGGUCUUUUCCUCCACCAGCUUGUGGCUCUGAAAAACACGCUUUCUCUCAAAAACCAGCUCUGCUCUGCUCAUGUCUUCUCUCCUCUCUGCUCCACCAUUUCCUGUAUCAUUCUGUGGCUGAUUGCCUUCGGAUUACAGUUUAUAAAUAUGUGGAUCAGUGUGAUUUUUAGCUUUUUGCCUUUUUCAUUUUAGUCAUCACAUGCAUACUCACUUGCAAAGCCUCUCCUGCAUCUGACCAUAUCAAGCCCGGCUCAGCAGUGCUGAUAGUAUCUACACUCACACUUAUCACUUUCUGCACAACAGCUGGCCUUGUGCUUAUCUUACAAAUUAACUACAGUCCAUUUUACUUUUAUAGACCUUCACAUUUCUCAGCCUCUUUGAUCAGUUUGAGAGUGAUCUCGGACCCCCUGCUGUGUGUACUGGUCUGUAAGGAGCAGCUCAGGGUUCAUAAACAGCAAACUCACACAGACAUGAACACUGAUCAGAGAUCAGUUUGAUUUGAAGCCCUGAGUGUUAUAUGAAGAUAUCAGAAGAUGCAAGAAAUGUUCUUAUGGUUGUUAUCAGGCAGCUAUGGUCUUGAGAAUUGUGGAUAAAAUGGCAGUUUGUAAAUGAAAACGGAAGCUAAAAAUCUACUACAUAUCAAACAAUAGCAACACAAGGAAAGAGUCUUUUUUUUCGACAUUUUCUAGAUUAUAACAAUUACAGCAGAUAGUUCCACCAGUCAAACUUAAGCUCCUAUUAUUAUAUAUUACUUGCUGUUGUAUGCAAACAUGCAAAUUGUAUUUUUUAAUGAUUUAAAGGUUGCCUGUUCUUUGACACCAUUAAAAAUUCAAAAAAGGAAAGUUAUUUUCUUGUGUUUGCCCAUCAUUCAUAGCUAGAGAAAUCUCUGUUGGUUAGAUAAACCUCUGCUGAUCCCUUACUCUGGAAAUUAGCAAGCAUUAAAUAAUCAUGAUCAAAUCAUAUAAAGUUAACAGGAACAGCUGGUAAAAUAAACAUGUAUCCAUAUACACUGAUUGUUGAAGGUGUAAAUUAAUUCUAUCAACUUAAUUUUUUGCAGUUGUAUUUAUACAACAAUUUGUGUGAUGAUAAAGGUUUUGAGAGUCUAAAAAUGUUUGGUUUAGAUACCCUGA
Molecule: long non-coding RNA, 1795 nt
Organism: Neoarius graeffei (lesser salmon catfish)
Lineage: Eukaryota; Metazoa; Chordata; Actinopteri; Siluriformes; Ariidae
Exons: 3
Source: RefSeq, a predicted model, not a curated record